This 676-nucleotide ribosomal RNA is filed under the name Escherichia coli. RNAcentral describes it as "partial 23S ribosomal RNA". It matches the Rfam family "Bacterial large subunit ribosomal RNA", at positions 1069 to 1746 of the family's 2925-position model. The record is from RNAcentral. Lineage: Bacteria; Pseudomonadati; Pseudomonadota; Gammaproteobacteria; Enterobacterales; Enterobacteriaceae.
AACGAUGUGGGAAGGCCCAGACAGCCAGGAUGUUGGCUUAGAAGCAGCCAUCAUUUAAAGAAAGCGUAAUAGCUCACUGGUCGAGUCGGCCUGCGCGGAAGAUGUAACGGGGCUAAACCAUGCACCGAAGCUGCGGCAGCGACGCUUAUGCGUUGUUGGGUAGGGGAGCGUUCUGUAAGCCUGUGAAGGUGUGCUGUGAGGCAUGCUGGAGGUAUCAGAAGUGCGAAUGCUGACAUAAGUAACGAUAAAGCGGGUGAAAAGCCCGCUCGCCGGAAGACCAAGGGUUCCUGUCCAACGUUAAUCGGGGCAGGGUGAGUCGACCCCUAAGGCGAGGCCGAAAGGCGUAGUCGAUGGGAAACAGGUUAAUAUUCCUGUACUUGGUGUUACUGCGAAGGGGGGACGGAGAAGGCUAUGUUGGCCGGGCGACGGUUGUCCCGGUUUAAGCGUGUAGGCUGGUUUUCCAGGCAAAUCCGGAAAAUCAAGGCUGAGGCGUGAUGACGAGGCACUACGGUGCUGAAGCAACAAAUGCCCUGCUUCCAGGAAAAGCCUCUAAGCAUCAGGUAACAUCAAAUCGUACCCCAAACCGACACAGGUGGUCAGGUAGAGAAUACCAAGGCGCUUGAGAGAACUCGGGUGAAGGAACUAGGCAAAAUGGUGCCGUAACUUCGGGAGAAGG